Neocallimastix californiae is the source of this 89-nucleotide non-coding RNA. The record is from Rfam. NCBI's taxonomy places the organism in Eukaryota, Fungi, Neocallimastigomycota, Neocallimastigomycetes, Neocallimastigales, Neocallimastigaceae.
GUCAAUUUGGCGGAGUGGUUAACGCAGUGGCCUGCUAAGACAUUUUUCUUUGGGAGCGCAGGGAAAUGGUUUGAGUCCUGCAGGUGACG